Molecule: ribosomal RNA, 460 nt
Filed under: uncultured bacterium
Lineage: Bacteria
Description: partial 16S ribosomal RNA
Rfam family: Bacterial small subunit ribosomal RNA
Source: RNAcentral
CCUACGGGGUGCAGCAGUGAGGAAUAUUGGUCAAUGGACGAGAGUCUGAUCCAGCCAAGUAGCGUGAAGGAUGACUGCCCUCUGGGUUGUAAACUUCUUUUAUAAAGGAAUAAAACGAGGCACGUGUGCCUUUUUGCAUGUACUUUAUGAAUAAGGAUCGGCUAACUCCGUGCCAGCAGCUGCGGUAAUACGGAGGAUCCGAGCGUUAUCCGGAUUUUUUGGGUUUAAAGGGAGCGUAGAUGGGUUGUUAUGUCAGUUGUGAAAGUUUGCGGCUCAACCGUAAAAUUGCAAUUGAUACUGGCAGUCUUGAGUACAGGUGAGGUAAGCGGAAUUCGUGGUGUAGCGGUGAAAUGCUUAGAUAUCACGAAGAACCCCGAUUGCGAAGGCAGCUUACUAAACUGUGACUGACAUUGAUGCUCGAAAGUGUGGGUAUCAAACAGGAUUAGAUACCCUAGUAGUC